GGGAGCAUGGGGUAACACGGCAUCCUCACGGGCUCCAGACCCGUUGAUCUGGGUUCAAAUCCCAGUGCUCCCA
This 73-nucleotide transfer RNA is filed under the name Euryarchaeota archaeon CG_4_9_14_3_um_filter_38_12. RNAcentral describes it as "tRNA-Trp". It matches the Rfam family "tRNA". Rfam says of the family: Transfer RNA (tRNA) molecules are approximately 80 nucleotides in length. Their secondary structure includes four short double-helical elements and three loops (D, anti-codon, and T loops). Further hydrogen bonds mediate the characteristic L-shaped molecular structure. tRNAs have two regions of fundamental functional importance: the anti-codon, which is responsible for specific mRNA codon recognition, and the 3' end, to which the tRNAs corresponding amino acid is attached (by aminoacyl-tRNA synthetases). tRNAs cope with the degeneracy of the genetic code in two manners: having more than one tRNA (with a specific anti-codon) for a particular amino acid; and 'wobble' base-pairing, i.e. permitting non-standard base-pairing at the 3rd anti-codon position. RNAcentral also lists the same sequence under 1 other name. The record is from RNAcentral. Lineage: Archaea; Methanobacteriati; Methanobacteriota.